Molecule: ribosomal RNA, 455 nt
Filed under: uncultured Allobrachymonas sp.
Lineage: Bacteria; Pseudomonadati; Pseudomonadota; Betaproteobacteria; Burkholderiales; Comamonadaceae
Description: bacterial SSU rRNA
Rfam family: Bacterial small subunit ribosomal RNA
Source: RNAcentral
GCACAAGCGGUGGAUGAUGUGGUUUAAUUCGAUGCAACGCGAAAAACCUUACCCACCUUUGACAUGGCAGGAAUCCCGAAGAGAUUUGGGAGUGCUCGAAAGAGAACCUGCACACAGGUGCUGCAUGGCCGUCGUCAGCUCGUGUCGUGAGAUGUUGGGUUAAGUCCCGCAACGAGCGCAACCCUUGCCAUUAGUUGCUACGAAAGGGCACUCUAAUGGGACUGCCGGCGACAAACCGGAGGAAGGUGGGGAUGACGUCAAGUCCUCAUGGCCCUUAUAGGUGGGGCUACACACGUCAUACAAUGGCCGGUACAGAGGGUAGCCAACCCGCGAGGGGGAGCCAAUCCCACAAAGCCGGUCAUAGUCCGGAUCGCAGUCUGCAACUCGACUGCGUGAAGUCGGAAUCGCUAGUAAUCGCGGAUCAGCAUGUCGCGGUGAAUACGUUCCCGGGUCUU